CAAUAGCGUAUAUUAAAGUUGUUGCAGUUAAAACGCUCGUAGUCGGAUUUCGGGGCGUUCCCGCCGGUCUGCCGAUGGGUACGCACUGGCGGGCGCGUCCUUCCUUCCGGAGACUGGCCCUACUCUUAGCUGAGCGGGGUCGGGAGUCGGAUCGUUUACUUUGAAAAAAUCAGAGUGUUUCAAGCAGGCAGCUCGCUCUUGUAUGGAUUAGCAUGGGAUAAUGAAAUAGGACUUUGGUGCUAUUUUGUUGGUUUCGAACACCGAAGUAAUGAUUAACAGGGACAGUCAGGGGCACUCGUAUUCCGCCGAGAGAGGUGAAAUUCUCAGACCAGCGGAAGACGAACCACUGCGAAAGCAUUUGCCAGGGAUGUUUUCACUG
This 379-nucleotide ribosomal RNA is filed under the name uncultured eukaryote. Its description in RNAcentral is "partial 18S ribosomal RNA". It matches the Rfam family "Eukaryotic small subunit ribosomal RNA", at positions 592 to 975 of the family's 1831-position model. The record is from RNAcentral.